This 253-nucleotide ribosomal RNA is filed under the name uncultured bacterium. RNAcentral's name for it is "partial 16S ribosomal RNA". It matches the Rfam family "Bacterial small subunit ribosomal RNA", at positions 524 to 776 of the family's 1533-position model. The record is from RNAcentral.
UACGUAGGUGGCAAGCGUUAUCCGGAUUUAUUGGGCGUAAAGAGAACGCAGGCGGUCUUUUAAGUCUGAUGUGAAAGCCUUCGGCUUAACCGGAGUAGUGCAUUGGAAACUGGGAGACUUGAGUGCAGAAGAGGAGAGUGGAACUCCAUGUGUAGCGGUGAGAUGCGUAGAUAUAUGGAAGAACACCAGUGGCGAAAGCGGCUCUCUGGUCUGUAACUGACGCUGAGGUUCGAAAGCGUGGGUAGCAAACAGG